AAGCUGUGACGAGGGCACUUUCUCAAUAAAUCUUUGAAUCUUUCCUAAGCUUCAUAUAAACUCUCUUGAUCAUGGUGGACAAAGGUCAUUAUCUCAUUGUGCAGUUU
Molecule: small nucleolar RNA, 107 nt
Filed under: Jatropha curcas
Lineage: Eukaryota; Viridiplantae; Streptophyta; Magnoliopsida; Malpighiales; Euphorbiaceae
Description: Plant small nucleolar RNA R71
Rfam family: Plant small nucleolar RNA R71
About the family: R71 is a member of the C/D box family of snoRNAs containing the C (UGAUGA) and D (CUGA) box motifs.
Source: Rfam by way of RNAcentral